CAAAUAUAUAGUAUGUAAAAACGAUAUUCAAAUAAUGGGCUUAUGCUCUGUCAAUAAACAAAAUUCCUAGACUCCGUGAUCGUGAAAUAUAAAAUAAAAAAAACGAUUUUAAUGAUUAGAAAAAAAAUAAUAAACAUUUCGCGAAUCCAAACGUUGAAUAACAACGCCGGUCGAACAAUUACGAAAUUGCUAUGUUAUAAUACGCGACGAUUAUAAAUAUUAUGUUUUCGCGAUCGUCUCGUAGAACGCGGCACUUGACUCGCCGCUUGAAUGUAUGCCACAAUAAUAUCGUUUGCAAAAAACAAUCGUGCGAAAAACGUGUUGUGUUCCUGGUUUCUAUGUACGUACAAUACCUAUAUCGGACGCGGGCGCGCGGCGUGUGAUGCGCAGCGACUAAGCGAAUAAUAUUAAUUCGUGCAAGUAAAUUUUCCCCGGUUCAUCGAUCUCUAUACUGUUAAUGAUAAAAUUAUUAUUGUUUUCAACGGUGUACACAGUGCACGUGAAAUUGAAUUAAAUGUAUUUAUUCCCGAUGACGGUCGUGCAUAUCAACCCGUUCACACCGCAUUAAAGUCCUUAAAUAAAUUUCCACCGUGUUCAAAACCCGACGCCUACCUACCUGUUUUUAAACUUAGGUGUUGUGCCGACAUGAAUACGAAUAUUAAUAAUAUUUCUACGCGGGUUUUCAAUAACAUUUUGCGCGUGGUACCAACCUUUGGAAUGUGUUCGACAAUCGUUUUUGCUUGCGUUUUAUCUUUGUUAUUUUUUUUUAUCAUAUCCAAUAACUCCAACGCCGAAUCGGGUGAAUCUAGAAGAUCGUACUCAACACAGGUAUCUAAUAGGCCCGAUUAUUAUGGUCUAUUUUAUAUUUAUGGGGAUAACCGCCACCUCUCUACUGACAUUUUUAGGACGUAGUUGUACUGUGCCAUUUAAACAAAAUGUCACAUAACUUACAAGUUUUAACUUUUCCCUACUAUACUGUACACUAUAUAUAUAUAUAUAUAUAUAUAUAUAUAUAUAUAUAUAGCAAUAAAUAACUUAUUUACAAUUGAUUUCAGCCAAACACGAGAAAUAAGGUAUAGAAUCAGAAAAAUAUAUUUGGAAAGGGACAAUAGUUGCAAUAACAAAAAAAAAUAUAAAGCUGAUAAUGCUGAUUAGUGUGUCACUGUUAUAGUUGAGAAGUUAGGACAUAUAAAUUUGUUUAAUUUAUAUCUGUAAUCAACGAUUACUAACGAAAGCUUUCUCGUCGAUGAUUUAACUUGGCGGAACUUAUUACAUGUUGAUCAUUUUUUUUUAAGUUCAAUAACGUGUGUGUGUGUGUUUUUCUGAGUUUAAAAUUAGCGAAGUAAGACAUAUUUUAAGUAUAAGGUAGUUAUCAUAAUAUUUCUUUAAACAUUUGCUAAUACCAAUAUAC
This is a non-coding RNA of Cinara cedri, 1411 nucleotides long. NCBI's taxonomy places the organism in Eukaryota, Metazoa, Arthropoda, Insecta, Hemiptera, Aphididae. The record is from the annotation of a GenBank genome assembly.